This 252-nucleotide ribosomal RNA is filed under the name uncultured bacterium. RNAcentral's name for it is "partial 16S ribosomal RNA". It matches the Rfam family "Bacterial small subunit ribosomal RNA", at positions 524 to 776 of the family's 1533-position model. The record is from RNAcentral.
UACGUAGGGGGCAAGCGUUGUCCGGAAUCAUUGGGCGUAAAGAGCGCGUAGGCGGUCCGGUAAGUCCGCUCUGAAAGUCCGGGGCUCAAUCCCGGGAGGCGGGCGGAUACUGUCGGGCUAGAGUCCGGAAGAGGCGAGUGGAAUUCCUGGUGUAGCGGUGAAAUGCGCAGAUAUCAGGAGGAACACCAAUGGCGAAGGCAGCUCGCUGGGAUGGUACUGACGCUGGGGCGCGAAAGCGUGGGAGCAAACAGG